This is a small nuclear RNA of Meriones unguiculatus (Mongolian gerbil), 106 nucleotides long. The record is from Ensembl. NCBI's taxonomy places the organism in Eukaryota, Metazoa, Chordata, Mammalia, Rodentia, Muridae.
GUGCUCGCUUCGGCAGCACACACACUAAAAUUGGAACAAUACCGAGAAGAUAAGCAUGGCCCGUGCGAAGGAUGACACGCAAAUUUGCAAAGCGUUCUGUUCUAUA